UGUUUAUUAAAUAAUAUCCUAGUUCCUGCUUUACUUCAAAGAAAACUAUGAAAAUGCUGAUGUCGAGUGUUUAUUCGUCAAGAAGCAUGUGCAGAAUUCAAAUAAUAUAUAAAAGAAACAUGCUCCUUGCUGUGAUACCAAUAACUACCCCCCUCGCACUCUUUCGAUUAUGGAGCCCCCGAGUCCUGUAAAUUAUUUCUAAUGCAUGAGAAGCGCCUGGCUGCUCUUAGAUACCUUCAGCAUGACUUUACUUCUCAUCUUAUUUUGACUUAUAUGAGAUAUACUUCCCUUUACUAUUUUUUGCUGGUAUUUCUCUUCAUAUGAAAUAUUAGAUACGCCAAGAUCGUAUCUAUCAAAGUGAAGCUCUUCAAGAACAUCGAAAAUGUUAACUGAUAGUUGAUUUCCCUUUCAACAUAUGAAAACUCAUCGUAAACAGGAAAGUUAUGUACAUUUCUAUGAGACAAGCAUAGGAGGAUAAAUAGGUUUUAAUCCAAAUUUCAUAAGUUAUCUGAAGAGCGUCAGUUCCAGUCUGAGCCUAGGUGUGUCUGAUCGAACAAGCGAAACUAUGGAGCUACGUCUGAAGGAAAGCAACUGAUAGACAAUGGUUGCUGUUUGAUCAUGGCUCUUGUUCCGGAUUAUGGACGUCCGGAUUAAAGACUUUUGACUGUAUAAUCAAGCAUUAUGUGUUGUAAAAUGUAUCAAAUGUGUCAUGUGCUGUAAAAAGUCUCUAAUGUUCUAAAAUUUACCAAGUGUUUCUGAAAUAUUAGCAUGUAAAAGUAUAAAGUUAGUCUGAAGUGUUAUGCAUGUCAUGUCAAGAAGUAUCAUUAUGACCAAAACAGAACAAUGUAAUUCAUAACUUUGUAAAGAAAAACGUCUCUGUAUGCCCAUGUAAAACUUUUUUUGAUUUAGUACA
Stegodyphus dumicola is the source of this 913-nucleotide long non-coding RNA. NCBI's taxonomy places the organism in Eukaryota, Metazoa, Arthropoda, Arachnida, Araneae, Eresidae. The record is from RefSeq and is a predicted model, not a curated record.